UAAGUUAGCAGACAGUUAGCUAUGGUCUCUACAGGACUAAGUUAGCAGACAGUUAGCUAUGGUCUCUACAGGACUAAGUUAGCAGACGAUUAGCCAUGGUCUCUACAGGACUAAGUUAGCAGACAGUUAGCUAUGGUCUCUACAGGACUAAGUUAGCAGACAGUUAGCCAUGGUCUCUACAGGACCAAGUUAGCAGACGAUUAGCCAUGGUCUCUACAGGACUAAGUUAGCAGACAGUUAGCUAUGGUCUCUACAGGACUAAGUUAGCAGACAGUUAGCUAUGGUCUCUACAGGACUAAGUUAGCAGACAGUUAGCUAUGGUCUCUACAGGACCAAGUUAGCAGACAGUUAGCCAUGGUCUCUACAGGACUAAGUUAGCAGACAGUUAGCCAUGGUCUCUACAGGACUAAGUUAGCAGACAGUUAGCCAUGGUCUCUACAGGACUAAGUUAGCAGACAGUUAGCCAUGGUCUCUACAGGACUAAGUUAGCAGACAGUUAGCCAUGGUCUCUACAGGACGAUAUUCAGAACUUGGACUAUUUUUAUUAAAAACCCUUUAGAUUCUUUUGUUCGUUGGACACUAAUGGACUAGAGGAAUAUAGAAGUCAGCAAUGGACCCAGAUUCAGCGUUCAGGACCAGCUCACAGGUAGCAAAGUGAGCAGCAGGAUACAUACUUUGACUUCUCCUUCCUGGAGCUCCAGAGGCUCUCGAGGGUCAUCCAGCCAUGGGUCGAUGGGGCUCAACUCAAUCAGCUGAAGCCCCCCAUCAUCCAAAAUCUCUACUUCUACUCAAAGGAUGUUCAACACAAAUGGAACUCACCCAGCUCGUCCUGCAAGAAGCUGUCAGACAGAACUCACCUGCCAUUCAGGUCUUCAAUGUCCUUGAUGAACAAGCCUCCCUGGUGUUUGCACUGGUUCUUGCAUGCUUUAAGGCCAUGGCUG
This is a long non-coding RNA of Perca fluviatilis (European perch), 941 nucleotides long. RefSeq lists it as uncharacterized. NCBI's taxonomy places the organism in Eukaryota, Metazoa, Chordata, Actinopteri, Perciformes, Percidae. The record is from RefSeq and is a predicted model, not a curated record. The transcript is spliced from 4 exons.